Molecule: long non-coding RNA, 1475 nt
Filed under: Pan troglodytes (chimpanzee)
Lineage: Eukaryota; Metazoa; Chordata; Mammalia; Primates; Hominidae
Description: lncRNA (ENSPTRG00000054536.1)
Source: RNAcentral
UCCCAAUUGGCUCUCGGGGCUGCCUUUUAGCCGGACGCGCGGAGGUGGGCAAUCCGCUCCUUCCCUUGAGCAGUCCACGCCUUGUGGCGGCUUUGCGGAGCUGCUGCUUUGGCGGGAGUUGGCGGCUGGUGUGAGGUUUCUGUGGGGAGAAGGAGAGUGCCAGAGGUGACUGGUUCGUGGUUCUUCUAGGCUCUCAUGGCCACCAUGUUGGAAGGCAGAUGCCAAACUCAGCCAAGGAGCAGCCCCAGUGGCCGAGAGACUAGCCUGUGGUCGUCAGGCUUUGGGAUGAAGCUGGAGGCUGUCACUCCAUUCCUGGGGAAGUAUCGCCCCUUUGUGGGUCGCUGUUGCCAGACCUGCACCCCCAAGAGCUGGGAGUCCCUCUUCCACAGAAGCAUAAUGGACCUAGGCUUCUGCAAUGUGAUCCUGGUGAAGGAGGAGAACACAAGGUUUCGGGGCUGGCUGGUUCGGAGGCUCUGCUAUUUCCUGUGGUCCCUGGAGCAGCACAUCCCCCCCUGCCAGGAUGUCCCACAGAAGAUCAUGGAAAGCACCGGGGUGCAGAACCUCCUCUCAGGGAGGGUCCCAGGAGGCACUGGGGAAGGCCAGGUGCCUGACCUUGUGAAGAAGGAGGUACAGCGCAUCCUGGGUCACAUCCAGGCCCCACCCCGUCCCUUCCUGGUCAGGCUGUUCAGCUGGGCGCUGCUGAGGUUCCUGAACUGCCUGUUCCUGAAUGUGCAGCUCCACAAGGGUCAGAUGAAGAUGGUCCAGAAGGCCGCCCAGGCAGGCUUGCCGCUUGUCCUCCUCUCUACUCACAAAACCCUCCUGGAUGGGAUCCUGCUGCCCUUUAUGCUGCUCUCCCAGGGCCUGGGUGUGCUCCGUGUGGCCUGGGACUCCCGCACCUGCUCCCCUGCCCUCAGAGCUCUGCUGAGGAAGCUUGGGGGGCUUUUCCUGCCCCCAGAGGCCAGCCUCUCCCUGGACAGCUCUGAGGGGCUCCUUGCAAGGGCUGUGGUCCAGGCGGUCAUAGAGCAGCUGCUGGUUAGUGGGCAGCCCCUGCUCAUCUUCCUGGAGGAACCUCCUGGGGCUCUGGGGCCACGGCUGUCAGCCCUGGGCCAGGCUUGGGUGGGGUUUGUGGUGCAGGCAGUCCAGGUGGGCAUCGUCCCAGAUGCUCUGCUGGUACCAGUGGCCGUCACCUAUGACCUGGUUCCGGAUGCACCAUGUGACAUAGACCAUGUGAGAAUGUGAGACCCUCCAGCCCCUUGGGCCCCUAGGUGGACACCAGCUCCCGACAGGAGGCACAAUAUUGUGUCCUGUGGCUGAGCCCCACUUAGGGCUGUGGGGGGCACAAAGGAAUCGUCCUUACAAUCAUCUGGCAGCACCUGCCAAGGCCAUUACCAUCAUCUCAUUUCAUCCUGUGAAGACCUUGAUAGGGAGGGAUUUUUCCUGUGUCAUGGAUAAGAAAAGAGGAGCUUGGGACAAGG